AUGAAUCUGCUAGCCUAGAACUGUCGAGGAUUGGGGUUGGACUCGACAGUAGGCGAGUUGUGUGACCUGAUUAGGUCCUACAAACCAUCAGUGGUAUUUUUAAGUGAAACCAAGAAGAAGGCGAGUGCGAUGGAGGGACUGAAAUGGAGAUUGGGGUUCCAUAAUGGUGUUGUAGUGGACUGUGAUGGCCUUAGCGGGGGUUUAGCGCUAUGGUGGAGGGACAAUGUACGGGUGACUGUUAGAACAUGGUGUCAGUAUUUUAUCGACGCGGAGAUUCAGUGUGAAUGGAAGACCUGUAGAUUCACUGGUUUCUACGGGGAGCCACGAACUGAGUUAAGGAAGAAAUUUUGGAUGUAA
This 357-nucleotide ribosomal RNA is filed under the name Triticum aestivum (bread wheat). RNAcentral's name for it is "partial small subunit ribosomal RNA". Lineage: Eukaryota; Viridiplantae; Streptophyta; Magnoliopsida; Poales; Poaceae. The record is from RNAcentral.